RNAcentral lists this unclassified non-coding RNA (376 nucleotides) under uncultured Actinomycetes bacterium. Its description in RNAcentral is "uncultured actinobacterium contains 16S-23S intergenic spacer region". Lineage: Bacteria; Bacillati; Actinomycetota; Actinomycetes. The record is from RNAcentral.
UCCGAUUUGUCACCGGCAGUCUCCUAUGAGUCCCCGUCUUUCACGCUGGCAACAUAGGACGAGGGUUGCGCUCGUUGCGGGACUUAACCCAACAUCUCACGACACGAGCUGACGACAACCAUGCACCACCUGUAUACCGCCCUUGCGGACCCCAUAUCUCUAUGAGUUUUCGGUAUAUGUCAAGCCUUGGUAAGGUUCUUCGCGUUGCGUCGAAUUAAACCACAUGCUCCACCGCUUGUGCGGGCCCCCGUCAAUUCCUUUGAGUUUCAGCCUUGCGGCCGUACUCCCCAGGCGGGGCACUUAAUGCGUUAGCUACGGCACAGAAGGCGUUGACGGCCCCCUACACCUAGUGCCCAACGUUUACGGCGUGGACUAC